RNAcentral lists this long non-coding RNA (203 nucleotides) under Lathyrus oleraceus (garden pea). RNAcentral describes it as "Pisum sativum (pea) long non-coding RNA (PSAT_LNC030159)". The record is from RNAcentral. Lineage: Eukaryota; Viridiplantae; Streptophyta; Magnoliopsida; Fabales; Fabaceae.
CUAGUUUGGUUGGUUGACUUUUGUUUUGACCUCUGUUUUAUUUCAAUUAAUUCAAUAACCAAUUUUUUUUAUUUUUAAAACCUUUUUGGGGGAUGAUGAUGUCCUGACCCCACCUCAUUUAGUUUAACUUUUCAUAAUUUUCUUGAUUAAUUUGCUAUUUAUUUCAUAUUUUUUAAUUUGACUCGAAAUUUCAGUUGACUUUC